GAAAUGCGAUAACUAGUGUGAAUUGCAGAAUUCAGUGAAUCAUCGAGUCUUUGAACGCACAUUGCGCCCGUCGGUACUCCGGCGGGCAUGCCUGUUCGAGCGUCAUUUCACCAGUCAGGCCCGCUUGUGGUCUGGUCUUGGGUCCCGUCGUGGAGACGGAUCCUAAACCCACCUUCCGGCGGCCCCCACCGUCACUGCCCGGAACGCGUCGUGGAGCUUUCUUUUGCCUCGCGGCCGGGUGCGGUUUGGCGCGCGCAACCUCUUUUUUUUUGUUUUGACCUCGGAUCAGGUAGGGAUACCCGCUGAACUUAA
RNAcentral lists this unclassified non-coding RNA (312 nucleotides) under uncultured fungus. RNAcentral's name for it is "sequence contains ITS1". The stretch from base 1 to 105 matches the Rfam family "5.8S ribosomal RNA", at positions 50 to 154 of the family's 154-position model. The record is from RNAcentral. Lineage: Eukaryota; Fungi.